UACGAAGGGGGCUAGCGUUGUUCGGAAUUACUGGGCGUAAAGCGCACGUAGGCGGAUUUUUAAGUCAGGGGUGAAAUCCCGGGGCUCAACCCCGGAAUAGCCUUUGAUACUGGAGAUCUGGAGUCCGAGAGUGGUGAGUGGAAUUCCGAGUGUAGAGGUGAAAUUCGUAGAUAUUCGGAGGAACACCAGUGGCGAAGGCGGCUCACUGGCUCGGUACUGACGCUGAGGCUCGAAAGCGUGGGGAGCAAACAGG
This 253-nucleotide ribosomal RNA is filed under the name uncultured bacterium. RNAcentral's name for it is "partial 16S ribosomal RNA". It matches the Rfam family "Bacterial small subunit ribosomal RNA", at positions 524 to 776 of the family's 1533-position model. The record is from RNAcentral.